GACGAACGCUGGCGGCGUGCUUAACACAUGCAAGUCGAACGGGCAGGCCCUGCUUUUGUGGGGUGCUCGAGUGGCGAACGGGUGAGUAACACGUGAGUAACCUGCCCUUGACUUUCGGAUAACUUCAGGAAAAUGGGGCUAAUACCGGAUAGGAGCUCCUGCUGCAUGGUGUGGGUUGGAAAGUUUCGGCGGUUGGGGAUGGACUCGAGGCUUAUCAGCUUGUUGGUGUGGUAGUUACUUACGAAGGCUGUGACGGGUAGCCGGCCUGAGAGGGUAACCGGCGUCAUUGCUACUGAGGGACGGAGCAGACGCCUACGGGAGGCAGCAGUGGGGAGCAUGACACAACGGGGGGAAGUCAGAGGCAGCAACGCUGCGUGCGGGAUAACGGCCUUCGGGUGGUAAACCGCUUUCGCAGGUGACGAAGCGAGAGUGACGGUAAUUGGUAAGAAAGCACCGGCUAACUACGUG
RNAcentral lists this ribosomal RNA (468 nucleotides) under uncultured bacterium. RNAcentral describes it as "partial 16S ribosomal RNA". It matches the Rfam family "Bacterial small subunit ribosomal RNA", at positions 28 to 507 of the family's 1533-position model. The record is from RNAcentral.